Molecule: ribosomal RNA, 353 nt
Filed under: uncultured bacterium
Lineage: Bacteria
Description: bacterial SSU rRNA
Rfam family: Bacterial small subunit ribosomal RNA
Source: RNAcentral
AGAGUUUGAUCCUGGCUCAGGAUGAACGCUAGCUACAGGCUUAACACAUGCAAGUCGAGGGGAAACGACAUCGAAAGCUUGCUUUUGAUGGGCGUCGACCGGCGCACGGGUGAGUAACGCGUAUCCAACCUGCCCACCACUUGGGGAUAACCUUGCGAAAGUAAGACUAAUACCCAAUGACGUCUCUAGAAGACAUCUGAAGGAGAUUAAAGAUUUAUCGGUGAUGGGUGGGGAGUGCGUCUGAUUAGCUUGUUGGCGGGGUAACGGCCACCAAGGCGACGAUCAGUAGGGGUUCGUGAGAGGAAGGUCCCCCACAUUGGACUGAGACACGGUCCAAACUCCUACGGGAGGCA